GAAAAUGUUCUAUUUCCGCCGUUCUGUCAAAAAAGGAUUUUAACUGUAGAAGAUUCAUACCAUUUGAUGCCAAGUGUACAAUAAAAACUGAAAUGAAAAUUGCCAACAGAAGUGUCAUGGUCUUGGUGGAAAAUACUGUGCUCUUCAUUGACCUCUGUUUAAUAAUGGCUGGUGAUAGAAAACUAUCAGGAAUGCUUCAAGCUGGCAAUGGAGGGAAAUGUAAAAGACACUGAGAAAUCACAAGGUUUCAAACAUCUAGAAUAUGCUCACAGUCAGUCUUCCAGAUACUCACCUUAAAGGACAGUAUCUAUGUUACCUGCCCGGCCCCCUCCAUUACAGUUGCCUGCCAGUCUUCUUCCCCAAUCAUGCCCAACCGAUUGGUCCAAUAUUGUUCAAAACUUGAUGGAAAUGCGGUGUCAUCGUAGUUUGGAGUAUGUGCAGAGCACUCGGGACAACAAGCAGUUUAUUUCUUCGAUGAGACUGAAUUGAAAGGGAGCAGACACUGUUGUGAGCAUGAUGAUCACUUCUUCAAGUACCAUGGCUUGGAGAUAAAAAGCCGAAAUUGGCACUUUGGUCUUAGCAGCAAACAGGCCUGGUUUUGUGCGGUGCAGGUUUGCUGCAUCGGUGAUGGUUUAGUUUACCUGAUGAAAACCAGAGCAGUUGUGUACCCUGAACUCCUUUCCGAAUUAUUCAUCAAGGGGAUGGAUCUUGAAUGGCAGUGGUAUUAACAUGACAAGAUCAGAGAAUACAGCAGAUUAGACAUUGAAAAAGACAGUGUGCCCUAGACAGUCUCAACCAAAGCAUUGAACAAACUGUACAACCUGUUAAUUAACUUUUUAGAGCUGUUUGUUUGGACUAGUGUUUGUCAUUCAGAAAUAAGUAAUAACAUUAUUUCUCAGUAUAAGAUAUCUGCAGGAAUUAGAAGCUGAUAUUUACUGUAACUAUAAAACAAACCUCUUAGGGGUUUAGCCAGGUUAAAGAAAGACAGGGAGCUACAGAAAAGAGACAGGUUUUCAUGUUUCAAUAGGACACCCUUCAUUUAUCUGUGAAGAAUUUUAACAUUUUGAAUGUUACAGAAAAUGUUAGGAAUAUUGUAUAAUGUUUAAUUGAAGUACUAUUAGGUUUCAAGUGCCAAAUAUUUAAAGCCUGUGUGUAUUUAUAAUCUUGUGAAUAUAAAGUUGUUAUCAAAACAAAAUCAAUAUUUGACUGUCUUAAGCUUUUAAUUCUAUGAAGGCAGGAGGUUGCCAAUCUUACUCUUCAUGACGGGUGCUUCCAAAAAAAGAACAGGGUGCAGAAACCUUCCAUAACUCUUGCUAGAACCCUAAUAUCCUUUUUUCAUCAAAUUACAGUAACAUUGACAAUUAACAAAUGAUGCAGUGAUAUUUUUUUAUGCUAAUAUCAUCAAUUUUUAUUGUCAUUAAGUUUUCUUCUAGAAUUGAUUUGUACAUGUAAUGUAUUGAAAAUUGAUACUUGUGGUUGCCAUGGUUACAACUUGUUUCUUAGUGUAGUAAUAUGUUUUAUAUAUAUAAAUACAAUAUUGCAUUAUGUAAACUUAUAAUAUUUUAAGAAAUAAUGAUUCAAACACAUGUACAGAGACAAUAAAUACACUACUUUGUAUUUUUGUUGCCAUGGCAAUGUUUCUGUGUAUAUUUGUUACAUUUAUUGUUUUUUAUUACAGGAUUGUCCAUUAGUGAAAUUAUAAUGUGUAUAAUAAGCA
Molecule: long non-coding RNA, 1717 nt
Organism: Mya arenaria
Lineage: Eukaryota; Metazoa; Mollusca; Bivalvia; Myida; Myidae
Exons: 7
Source: RefSeq, a predicted model, not a curated record